GAUGAACGCUAGCGGCAGGCUUAAUACAUGCAAGUCAAGGGGGUAGCAAUACUACCGGCGCACGGGUGAGUAACACGUACAUAACAUACCAUAUACUGGGGUAUAGCUUUGGGAAACUGAAGGUAAUCCCCCAUAACAUUGCGAGAGGGCAUCUGAUUGCAAUUAAAGUUUCGACGGUAUAUGAUUGAUGUGCGUUUGAUUAGCUUGUUGGUAGGGUAACGGCCUACCAAGGCGACGAUCAAUAGCUGGCGUGAGAGCGCGACCAGCCACACUGGAACUGAGACACGGUCCAGACUCCUACGGGAGGCAGCAGUAGGGAAUAUUGGACAAUGGGCGAAAGCCUGAUCCAGCCAUGCCGCGUGAUAGAUGAAGGCCCUCUGGGUUGUAAAUAUCUUUUAUCUGGGAAGAAACAAUCUUAUUCUUAAGAUCUUGACGGUACCAGAGGAAUAAGCACCGGCUAACUCCGUGCCAGCAGCCGCGG
This 481-nucleotide ribosomal RNA is filed under the name uncultured bacterium. RNAcentral's name for it is "bacterial SSU rRNA". It matches the Rfam family "Bacterial small subunit ribosomal RNA", at positions 28 to 520 of the family's 1533-position model. The record is from RNAcentral.